Molecule: long non-coding RNA, 40912 nt
Filed under: Triticum aestivum (bread wheat)
Lineage: Eukaryota; Viridiplantae; Streptophyta; Magnoliopsida; Poales; Poaceae
Description: long non-coding RNA (TAES_LNC007391)
Rfam family: MIR1120/MIR1122 microRNA precursor family (bases 36938-37072)
Source: RNAcentral
AUCGAUCGGGGUCCUGUUCAUCCAGAGGCAACACCACGGGAUCCUGUCCAUCCACCCCCACCGUGAACUGUUCAUCCAGAUCCCCCUGCAACGCUCACUGUUCAUCCAGAGGCAGGAUCGAUCGGCUUCAGUUAGCAGCAGUAGCGAAGGAAUCGCUCGAUCAGGUUCAGUUAACAGCCAUCGAUCGAUCGCUCGGGUUCAGUAACGCGUAGCCUGCAGUGCAAUCGCUCGGGUUCAGUAGGCGAACGCCUCGCUCGGGUUCAGUUAGAGCCCAACACCUCGCACCCAUGCGUGUGUGUGUACAAGAGAAACACGCAAACCUCCGUGCAUCGCUCGGCCCCGACCACCCACUGUAACCGGGAAUACCCCGAUAUUUCCCUUGCCCUCGCUUCUACCACAGUUUUUCCAUCAUGGACGGCCCAAAGAAUGUCAUGCAGCUGCAUCUCUGCCCCGCCCAGGACGAAAAGCCCAUUUUCUGUCAUGAUUUUUUGUCAUAGAAGUAGGAUCCCGCCACAUCUAUGAUGAUACCGGGAUUUGUCACAAUUAUCAUCAUAGAAGUGUCAUAAGUAUGAGAGAGAGAAAAUUCGUUCGACCCAAAAUGUCACGGAUGUGUCUUUUUUUUGUAGUGUUACAAUUUUAGCACUUGUAGACAUUACCUUGCUGAAAACCACUUGUCAUUUUCUUCUGCUCCUCGUUGGGUUCGACACUCUUACUUAUCGAAAAGAGCUACAAUUGACCCCAUACACUUGUGGGUCAUCAAGGCAAAGCGCUCUUGGUAAGUGGAAAUUGGUAAGGAAACAUUGUUACUAUGUCCUGAAAUAUGUUGUCACUUGCUACUAUGGAAAAUAAUCCUUUGAGGGGUUUGUUCGGGGUAUCUUCACCUCGACCGGAACCACAAUUAGUUACCCCUCAACCUAAUGCACCUACUGAAAAUAUUUAAUAUGAAAUUCCUUCGGGUAUGUUAGAACAACUCCUAGCUAAUCCUUAUGCAGGAGAUGGAACCGAACAUCCUGAUAUGCACUCGAUAUAUGUGGAUGAAAUUUGUGGAUUAUUUAAGCUUGUAGGUUUGCCCGGAGAUGAAGCUAAGAAGAAGGUUUUCCCUUUAUCUUUAAAGGGAAAAGCAUUGACAUGGUAUAGGAUAUGCGAUGAUAUUGGAUCUUGGAACUGGAACAGUUUGAAAUUGGAAUUUCAUCACAAAUGUUAUCCUAUGCAUCUAGUUCAUCGUGAUCGGAAUUAUAUAUAUAAUUUUUGGCCUCGUGAAGGAUGAAGUAUUGCUCUAGCUUGGGGAAGGCUUAAGUCAAUGUUAUAUUCAUGCCCCAAUCAUGAGCUCUCGAGAUAAAUUAUUAUUCAGAACUUUUAUGCUCGGCUUUCUCGUAAUGAUCAAUCCAUGCUUGAUACUUCUUGUACUAGUUCUUUUAUGAAGAAGACUAUUGAAUUCCGGUGGGAUCGAAAGAAUUAAACACAACUCUGAAGAUUUGGAACUCGAUGAAGGUAAAGAUUCAGGUAUUGAACCUAAGUUUGAUUGUGUUAAAUCUUUUAUGAAUACCGAUGCUUUCCGAAAGUUUAGCACUAAAUAUGGACUUGACUCUGAGAUAGUAGCUUCCUUUUGUGAAUCUUUUGCUACUGAUGUUGAUCUCCCUAAGGAUAAGUGGUUUAAGUACCACCCACCAAUUAAAUAACUGGUAAAAGCUAAAGAAGAGACUAUCAUUUUCAAUGUUGAUCCAGUUGUUCCCACUUCUUAUAUUGAAAAACCGCCUUUUCCUGUUAGGAUGAAGGAACAUGCUAAAGCUUCAACUGUGGUUAACAAAAGUUGUGUUAGAACAUUCAAACCUUCUGAACAAAUCAAAGUUGAACGUAGUUUUGCUAUGGUUAAAUAUAUCUUAGUUGAAAAUAUUGAUGGGAAUGUUAUUUACUUCUGUGAUGAAGCUUGUAGAAUUGCUAAACCUGAAGGAAAAGAUAAACAUAGACCCGUUGUUGGCAUGCCUGUUGUCUCAGUUAAGAUAGGAGAUCAAUGUUAUCAUGGGUUAUGUGACAUUGGUGCUAGUGUGAGUGAUAUUCCCUUCUCCUUAUAUGAAGAAAUUAGAGAUGAAAUAGCACCUGCUGAAAUAGAAGACAUAGAUGUUACUAUUAAACUUGCUAAUAGAGAUACUAUAUCACCAAUUGGGAUUUUUUAUAGAUGUUGAAGUCUUGUGUGGGAAGAUAAAAUACCCUACUAAUUUUCUUAUUCUUACCCCCCCACAAGAUGAUUUUUGUCCCAUGAUAUUUGGUAGACCUUUCUUGAACACCGUCAAUGCUAAAAUAGACUGUAAGAAACAAACUGUCGGUGUUAGCUUUGGUGAUGAAUCUCAUGAGUUCAAUUUUUCCAAGUUUAGUAAACAACCUCAUAAGAAAUAUUUGCCCAGUAAUGACGAAAUUAUUGGUCUUGCUUCUAUUGUUGUGCCUCCUACUGAUCCUUUGGAACAAUAUUUGCUAGACCAUGAAAAUGAUUUGCAUAUGCGUGAGAGAAAUGAAAUAGAUAGAAUCUUUUUCGAACAACAACCUCUGCUUAAACACAAUUUGCCUAUUGAAACUCUAGGAGGUCCUCCUCCAGCUAAAGGUGAUCCUGUUUUUGAAUUAAAACAAUUACCAGACACUCUAAAAUAUGCUUAUCUUGAUGAAAAUAAGAUAUAUCCUAUUAUUAUCAGUGCUAACCUUUCAGAACAUGAAGAAGAAAGAUUAUUGAAAGUUCUAAGGAAGCACAGGGCUGCUAUUGGAUAUACUCUUGAUGAUCUUAAGGGCAUUAGUCCCACUGUAUGUCAACACAAGACUAAUAUGGUACCUGAUGCUAAACCCGUUGUUGAUCACCAACGUCGGUUAAAUCUGAAAAUGAAAGAAGUGGUAAGAAUGGAAAUAUUGAAACUUCUGGAAGCAGGUAUAAUCUAUCCUAUAGCUAAUAGUAGAUGGGUAAGUCAUGUUCAUUGUGUCCCUAAGAAGGGAGGUAUUACUGUUGUUAGUAAUGAUAAGAAUGAGCUUAUUCCACAAAUAAUUGUUACAGGCUAUAGAAUGGUAAUUGAUUAUAGAAAAUUAAAUAAAGCUACUAGAAAAGAUCAUUAUCCUCUGCCUUUUAUUGGUCAAAUGUUAGAAAGACUAUCUAAGAACACACAUUUUUGCUUCCUUGAUGGAUACUCUGGCUUUUCACAAAUACUUGUUUUACAAUCUAAUCAAGAAAAGACCACUUUUACUUGUCCUUUUGGAACAUUUGCUUAUAGACGUAUGCCUUUCAGUUUAUGUAAUGCACAUGGUACCUUUCAAAGAUGUAUGACUGCUAUCUUCUUUGAUUUUUGUGAAAAGAUUGUUGAGGUUUUCAUGGAUGACUUUUCUGUUUAUGUGAAGUCUUUUGAUGAUUGUUUAAGCAAUCUUGAUUGAGUUUUGCAGAGAUGUGAACAAACAAAUCUUGUCUUGAAUAGGGAGAAGUGCCACUUUAUGGUUAAUGAAGGUAUUGUCUUGGUCCACAAAAUUUCUGAAAGAGGCAUUGAGGUGGACAAAGCCAAGGUUGAUGCAAUUGAGAAAAUGCCAUGUCCUAAAGAUAUCAAAGGUAUUCAUAAUUUCCUUGGUCAUGCUGGUUUCUAUAGAAGGUUUAUCAAAGACUUUUCUAAAAUUUCUAGGCCUCUUACUAAUCUUUUUCAAAACGAUAUUCCCUUUGUGUUUGAUGAUGAUUGUAUGGAAGCCUUUGAAACACUAAAAAAAGCCUUAAUUACUGCACCUGUUGUUCAACCACCUGAUUGGAACUUGCCUUUUGUGAUUAUUUGUGAUGCUAGUGAUUAUAUUGUUGGUGCUGUUCUAGGACAAAGCGUUGAUAAGAAACUAAAUGUUAUUCAUUAUGCUAGUAAAAUUCUAGACAGUGCUCAACGAAACUAUGCUACUAUUGAAAAAGAAUUCUUAGCAGUGGUGUUUGCUUGUGAUAAAUUCAGAUCUUACAUUGUUUAUUCUAAAGUAAUUGUUCACACCAAUCAUGCUGCUAUAAAAUAUGUUAUGGAAAAGAAAGAUGCUAAACCUAGACUCAUUAGGUGGGUUCUUCUGCUACAAGAAUUUGAUUUACAUAUUACUAAUAGGAAAGGAGCAGAGAACCCCGUAGUUGAUAACUUGUCUAGACUUGAAAAUAUUCUUGAUGACCCACAACCAAUUAAUGAUAGCUUCCCUGAUGAACAACUAGAUGCAAUAAAUGUUUCUCAUAGUACACCUUGGUAUGCUGACUAUGCUAAUUAUAUUGUUGCCAAAUACAUACCACCUAGCUUCACAUACCAACAAAAGAAAAAAAUUCUUCUAUUACUUAAGACAUUACUUUUGGGAUGACCCACAUCUUUAUAAAGAAGGAGCAGAAGGUAUUAUUAGACAUUGUGUACCUGAGCAUGAACAUGAACAAAUCCUACGGAAGUGUCACUCCGAAGCUUAUGGAGGACAUCACGCGGGAGACAAAACCGCUCAUAAGGUAUUGCAAUCUGGUUUUUAUUGGCCUACUCUCUUCAAGGAUGCCCGUAAGUUUGUCUCAUAUUGUGAUGAAUGCCAAAGAAUAGGUAAUAUUGGCAAGCGUCAAGAAAUUUCUAUGAAUUAUUCACUUGCUGUUGAACCAUUUUAUGUUUGGAGAUCUGACUUUAUGGGAGCUUUUGCUUCCUCUAAUGGGUAUACACAUAUUUUGGUUGCUAUUGAUUAUGUUACUAAAUGGGUAGAAGCUAUUCCAACCAGUAGUGUUGAUCACAACACCUCUAUUAAAAUGCUUAAGGAAGUUAUUUUCCCAAGGUUUAGAGUCCCUAGAUAUUUAAUGACUUCACAUUUUAUUCAUGGUGCUUUCUGUAAAAUGCUUGCUAAGUAUGAUGUCAAUCAUAGAAUUGCUUCACCUUAUCAUCCUCAGUCUAGUGGUCAAGUUGAACUUAGAAAUGGAGAAAUAAAACUAAUCUUACGAAAGACUGUUAAUAGGUCCCGGAAGAAUUGGUCUAAGAAAUUAGAUGAUGCACCUUGGGCUUAUAGAACAACCUAUAAAAAUCUUAUGGCUAUGUCUCCAUAUAAAAUGGUAUAUGGAAAAGCUUGUCAUUUACCUCUUGAGUUAGAACAUAAAGCAUUUUGGGCAAUAAAAGAACUCAACUAUGAUUUCAAGCUUGCUGGAGAAAAAAGGUUAUUUGGCAUUAGCUCAUUAGAUGAACGGAGAACCCAGGCUUAUGAAAAUUCUAAGUUAUUCAAAGAAAAAAGUUAAAAAAUGGCACGACAAAGGAAUCCAAAAGCGUGAGUUCAAAGUAGGAGGAUAUGUUCUUUUGUACAACUCUCAUUUAAGAUUCUUUGCAGGAAAACUCCUCUCUAAAUGGGAAGGACCAUAUGUCAUCGAGGAGGUUUAUCGUUCUAGAGCUCAAAAUAAAUAACGCCGAGGGGACUAACCCGAAGGUUGUCAAUGGGCAAUGAAUAAAACAAUCUCAGGUAUGCCCAUUAAUAUAGAAAGCAAUGUUAUUCAAAUUUUAACACCGGAAGAACACAUAAAAGAGUCCUUUCGGAACACUCCAGAAUCAUGAAAAUAAGGAGGUGCGUGAUAAGGUAAGUAAAUGGACUCUGAAAAAUCCGCAAAAAUAUUUUUUGUCAGUUUUGGAAUAUGUAGAAAAUUAGGAAAAUAAGAAACUUCUAGGAAAGUGACCCUGGUGGGCACGAUACACCAGGGUGCGCUGAUGUCUACUACACAACCUUCUUCUUGUAGCCGUUGUUGGGCCUGCAAGUGCACAGUUUGUAGGACUGUAGCAAAUUUCUCUCAAGUGGAUGACCUAAGGUUUAUCAAUCCGUAGGAGGCGUAGGAUGAAGAUGGUCUCUCAAGCAACCCUGCAACCAAAUAACAAAGAAUCUUUUGUGUCCCCAACCCACCCAAUACAAUGGUAAAUUGCAUAGGUGCACUAGUUCGGCGAAGAGAUGGUGAUACAAGUGCAAAAUAGAUAGUAGAUAUAGGUUUUUGUAAUCUGAAAUUAUAAAAACAGCAAGGUAGCAAGCGAUAAAAGUGAGUGUAAACGGUAUUGCAAUGAUAGGAAACAAGGCCUAGGGUUCAUACUUUCACUAGUGCAAGUUCUCUCAACAAUAAUAACAUAGAUAGAUAUUAUAACAAUCCCUCAACAUGCAACAAAGAGUCACUUCAAAGACACUAAUAGCAGAGAACGAACGAAGAUAUUAUGGUAGGGUACGAAACCACCUCAAAGUUAUUCUUUCAGAUCGAUCUAUAAAAGAGUUCGUACUAGAAUAACACCUUAAGACACAAAUCAACCAAAACCCUAAUGUCACCUAGAUACUCCAUUGUCACCUCAAGUAUCCGUGGGCAUGAUCAUAUGAUAUGCAUAACACAAUCUCAGAUUCAUCUAUUCAACCAACACAAAAGUACUUCAAAGAGUGCCCCAAAGUUUCUACCAGAGAGUCAAGAACGUGUGUCAACCCCUAUGCAUAGGUUCAUGGGCGGAACCCGCAAGUUGGUCACCAAAACAUACAUCAAGAGGCACAUGAUAUCCCAUUGUCACCACAGAUAAGCACGGCAAGACAUACAUCAAGUGUUCUCAUAAAAGACUCAAUUCGAUAAGAUAACUUCAAAGGGGAAACUCAAUUCAUCACAAUAGAGUAGACAGGGAGAAACAUCAUAAGAUCCAACUACAAUAGCAAAGCUCGGGAUACAUUAAGAUCGUGCCAUAGAGGGAACACAAGAGAGAACACGAGAGAGAGAGAGAGAGAGAUCAAACACAUAGCUACUGGUACAUACCCUCAGCCUCGAGGGUGAACUACUCCCUCCUCGUCAUGGAGAGCGCCGGGAUGAUGAAGAUGGCCACCGGUGAUGGAUCCCCCCUCCGGCAGGGUGCCGGGAAGGGCUCCCGAGAGGUUUUUGGUGGCUACAGAGUAUUGCAGCGGCGGAACUCCAGAUCUAUCUUCUCCAUGGAUGUUUUUAGGGUACGUGGGACUAUAUAGGCGAAAGAAGUCGGUCGGGGGGUGCUCGAGGGGUCCACGAGACAGGGGGCGCGCCCCUGUAAGGGGGGGGGGCACCCUCCUAUCUCGUGGGCUCCUCGAGAAUCUUCUGACUUGAUCUCCAAGCCUCCAGGAUGAUAUUCUUCCAAAAAAUCACGAUGCCGAAGGUUUCAUUCCGUUUGGACUCCGUUUGAUAUUCCUUUUCUUCGAAAUACUGAAACAGGCAAUAAAACAGCAAUAUGGGCUGGGCCUCCGGUUAAUAGGUUAGUCCCAAAAGUAAUAUAAAAAUGUAUAAUAAAGCCCAUAAUCAUUGAAAACAGAUAAUAAAAUAGCAUGGAACAAUCAAAAAUUAUAGAUACGUUGGAGACAUAUCACGCGCCAGGCUGGCGCUCCCAGGUGGAAUGUGCCCACCUCGGGUACUUUCUGAUCUCCGUUUUUCUUCUGUUCUGCUUGUUGUCCAACAUAAAAAAUCUAUAUAUACCUCCCGAACCUGUUAACCUCCGUAUCACGGAGAAAUCUCAUGUUUUCUUUUCUUGUUGUUUUCUGUCAGAUCUGUUGAACCAGGCAUCAUGUCUUCUUCCUCCUCCAACAAUGAAGAAGACGAAGCUUGGUUGCUUCAGGUGGAAUCCAUGGGAGAGGAACUUGAAGAGACCAUUAUGGAGGAAGAUGAGGGAGAUCCGUUCAGGAUCCACCCUCUGGCCUCUAAGGGAGGGACUCUAGCUGGCAUCUCCACUCAUCCUAAUCCCCAUCAAGCCAUGAGGCUCCCAAACAAUCGAGAGGUACCAAGUGAUCAUGAAGAACUCCCUAUAAGGAGGCCUCUGCACAGGUUACAUCGAAACAUUUUUCAUAAUUUGAUCCACAAUUGUGGGUUCGAAAACACACCUCGUGUGCAUAUACCGUCGAGUUGGGACAUAUCUUGUCCAAGAGAAAGUGAUGCAGGGACAAGCUCUUGGGGUCCGGAAAAUAAACAUACCAUGGCUGAGGUGGAGAAGAACACUGAGCUGCUCCAUCGAGUUCUUCAAGAGAUUCACAUCUUAAGAGAUGCACUCAGAGAUGUAUUGGACCAGACUGCUUCCACUCCAUCACCACCAAAACAAAACUGAGUAUUGGGUAUGGGCACUCCCCCUGGCUUUCGCCAAGCUUGGGGGAGGUGCCCCGGUACCGUAUCAAUCUCCACUAUCUUUUGCCUUUAUUUUCUUAGUUCGAUCAAUGGUUAUCUUUUGCUAUUAGAUGAAUAAAAGAUUAGUUCGAUCCUUUCUUUUUGUGAAUUUGCUUAGUGAUCAAUCCUUGUAAUCGUGUGCGAGAUAUAAUAAAGUUUAGUUUGAGUUUUGCCUUCUUUACUUUCUUGCUGCAAUAAAAAGAAAGAAAAUAAAAAGAAAAUAGCAUAUGCUAAUCUUAUGGUAAGUGAUGACAUUACACAAGGAAAAUUAUAAGUAGAAAAUUUUGUUGUAGGUUGACAAACAUAGCAUUGGUCAAUGAUGCAACACAUGAAAGAAUUAAUAUGGGAAGAGAAGAUUCACAUAUAAAUAUACUAUCAUGGAAAGCUUUUGUGAUUGUGAGUACCCACCAAAAUAUUAUAUGCCAAAAUUGUUGACAUUAGAAAAGGAAGACAACUUAAUGAUUUAUGUUUGUUCAUAUUCAGAUAGAAGUCAUAUUUUCAUAGAUCCUUCAACAUGUGGUGCUUGCCCCUAUCUUUGCUAGCCAAAAAUUCCGCACUAAGUAGAGAUACUACUUGUGCAUCCAAAACCCUUAAACCCUAUCUUGUUUGAGAGUCCACCAUACCUACGCAUUGAUUGAGUAAGAUCCUUCAAGUAAUUUGUCGUCGGUGCAAAAGGGGCAAUAAAAAUUGCUUAUAAAAGUGUGAGAUCAUUUAGUGUAAGGGAAAAUUGAGCGUUGUACGAACUUGUGAUGGUGAAGAAUAAAAGCGACUGACUGCAUAAUAAAGGUUGCCAUCACAAGGGGCAAUAUAACGUGAUGUUCUCUUGCACUAAGGGGUUGAGCAUACAAACAAAGAGUGCAUGGCAACCUCUACUUCCCUUUGCGAAGGGCCUAUGUUUUACUUUCAUGUAUUUAAUUUUAGGGAUAAUUAGAUUUAUGCCCCUAGUUGUGUCACACUCGUCUGUUUUACCCCUAAUUCCCAAAAGUCGCCGAUUCUGUCCAAGUCACUUUGCUCCUCUUAUGCUUUUGCCCUUUGACCGUUUGACCAUUAGUUUGAAAACUUCAUAACUAAUUCAUACUAAAUCAGAAAAAUGCAAAUAAGAUACCAAAAUGUUCAGAAAAACAUCAUCUAUAUGUCAGAGUCAUUUGCAUUAAUGAAAAAGUGUUAGAAAGUGCACAUCUGAGUUUUAGCUCUUUUGAUACCACCAUGAAUAGUAAACUCUAAAAAAAUUCAAAAAAAAUCAAAAAAAUGGUGGCAAAGAACGAAAAAUGUUCUAAGUGCUUGCCAAGUUUCACUAGGGAACGACAUUCGUGGAAGUCGUCGCAAAAAAAUAAUCUAUUUUGAAGUGCUGAUUGUUUUUUUUCGCAACACCCACGAAUGUUAUUCCCUGAUGAAACUUGGCAGACACUUAAAACAUUUGUCAUUUUUUGCCACCAUUUUUUUGAAUUUUUAGAACUUUUUUAGAUUUUACUAUCCAUGGUGGUAGCAUAAGAGCUAAAACUCGGAUGGGCACUUUCCAACACUUUUUCAUGAAUGCAAAUGACACUAACAUAUAGGUGAUGUUUUCUGAAUAUUUUGGUAACUUAUUUGCAUUUUUCUGAUUUAGUAUGAAUUAGUUAUGAAGUUUUCAAACUGGCGGUCAAAUGGUCAAAGGGAAAAAGCAUAAGGGGGCAAAAUGACUUGGACAAAACUGGUGACUUUUGAGAAUUAGGGGUAAAACAGACGAGUGGGACACAACUAGGGGCAUAAAUGUAAUUAUCCCUUACUUUUAUGCAAGAGUCAAAGUUUUUCUCUCUAUUCCUUUUAUUUUUCUCCUUUGGCAAGCGUCAUGUGGUGAGGAAAGAUCUAGGCACAUAUGUCCAGUUGAAUAUGGGUGGCAUAAGUUAUUAUUGUUGACAUCACCCUUGAGAUGAGUGUGUUGGGAGGCGAACCUAUAAGCCCCUAUCUUUCUUUGUGUCCGGUUGAAACGUUUUGCUCAUGUGUACACGGUGAGUGUUAGCAAUCAUAGAAUACUAAAUGAUGGUUGAGUAUGUGGACUUGCCUACAGGCUCCAAUACGCGACCCUUCCUGAAAAGAUGAUGAAUUGUAGUUGCAAAGUUGACUGAGAACAUAGUUUGUUGGUUUCCAAUAGAGUUUAUGCUUUAUACUUCAUUGUUGUGAUGAAUUGUCACUUGUUCAUGAGAAGUCUAUGAUAAGAGUUCUAUAAUAAAAGUUUUAUAUUAAAGUUUUUUGUUGUUAUAAUAAGUCACAUGAUGUUGCUAUGUCCGUAUUUUUGUUUUUAUCGACACCUCUCUCUCUAAGCAUGUGGACAUGUUUUUCAAUUUCGAUUUUCGCUUGAGGACAAACUAGGUCUAAGCUUGGGGAAGUUGAUACGUCCAUUUUGCAUCAUGUUUUCCUACUGUUAUUUAUGUUGUUUUAUUGUAUAAUAAUGCUUCUUAGAGUAAUUCUAAUGCCUUUUCUCUCAUAAUAUGCAAGGUAUGCACUAAGGGGGAGAAUUCUAGGAGCUGGAAAUCUGGACCUGAAAAAGCUACGUUAAGCUACCUAUUUUGCACAACUACAAAUGAGCUGAAACUCCCCAAGGAUUUUUUUAUGGAAUAUUUAAGGAAUAUUGCAAAUAAGUACCAGAGGAGGGCCACCAGGUGGGCACAACCCACCUGGGCGCGCCAGGAGGCCCAGGCGUGCCCUGGUGGGUGUUGCCCUCCUCGUCCCACCUCCGGUGCCCAUCUUCUGGUAUAUAAGUCAUUUUGACCUAGAAGAAAUAGGGGGAGUACAUUCGGGACGAAGCGCCACUGCCUCGAGGCGGAACUUGGGCAGGAGCACUUUUGCCCUCCGACGGAGCGAUUUCACCGGGGGAACUUCCCUCCCGGAGGGGGAAAUCAUUGUCAUCAUCAUCACCAACAAUUAUCCCAUCUUGGGGAGGGCUAUCUUCAUCAACAUCUUCAUAGCACCAACUCCUCUCAAACCCUAGUUCACCUCUUGCGUUCAAUCUUUGUACCAAAACUAUAGAUUGGUUCCCGUGGGUGACUAGUAGUGUUGAUUACAUCUUGUAGUUGAUUACUAUAUGGUUUAUUUGGUGGAAGAUUAUAUGUUCAAAUCCAUUAUGCUAUUCAAUACCCCUCUGAUCUUGAGCAUGUUUGUCAUUUGUGAGUAGUUACUUUCAUUCUUGAGGUCACGGGAGAAAUCAUGUUGCAACUAAUCAUGUGAACUUGAUAUGUGUUCGAUAUUUUGAUGGUAUGUAUGUUGCCAUUCUCUUAGUGGUGUCAUGUGAACAUCGACUACAUGACACUUCACCAUAUUUGGUCCUAAGAGAAUGCAUUGUGGAGUAGUUAUUAGAUGGUGUGUUACGAGAGUGACAGAAGCUUAAACCCACAUUUAUGCGCUAUUCCAUAAGGGACCGAUUGGAUCCAAAAUUUUAAUGCUAUGGUUAGAAUUUAUUCUUAAUACUUUUCUCGUAGUUGCGGAUGCUUGCGAGAGGGUUAAUCAUAAGUAGGAGGUUUGUUCAAGUAAGAACAAACCUAAGCACCGGUCCACCCACAUAUCAAAUUAUCAAAGUACCGAACACGAAUUAAGCCAACAUGAUGAAAGUGACUAGAUGAAAUUCCCGUGUACCCUCAAGAACACUUUGCUUAUCAUAAGAAACCGUUUUGUCAUGUCCUUUGCCUCAAAAGGAUUGGGAUACCUUGCUGCACUUUUGUUACUACUAUUGUUACUUGCUCGUUACAAAUUAUCUUUCUACCAAACUACUCUACUACUUACAAUUUUAGCAAUUGCAGACAUUACCUUGCUGAAAACCACUUGUCAUUUCCUUUUGCUCCUCGUUGGGUUCGACACUCUUACUUAUCGAAAAGAGCUACAAUUGACCCCAUUCACUUGUGGGUCAUCAGGGGGGCGAUGGCAGCGGGAUGGAGGAGGGAGGGGAGGGAGGAGGGAGAUAGAGAGGGAGGCGGCGACAGUGGCGUGAUGGAGGAGGGAGGGGAUGUAGGAGGGAGCUAGGGAGGGAGGGGGUGACAGAGGCAGUAGCGGGCGGCAAUGCAGCGGUGGCAGACGACGGGGUGCGGGGGAGAGUGAGUGGAGUGGAGAGAGGAGAGUGAGGGACGGCCGGUUGGGGAAGAUAGGAUGGCUUUAGCAGUAGCGCGCUUUAGGGAAACACGCUACUGCUAAACGCCCUAGCAGUAGCGCCUUUCAGUCAAGAAGCACUACUUCUAUGCCCGUAGCAGUAGCGCCUUCUACGAAAACACACUCCUACAAAGUCUAAGCAUGUAAAAAUAAACAUCAAAAAUACAUUGGUCAUCAAUGAUCUUUUUGUGUGCAAUCUGAAUUGUCAAUAUGAGUCCUCACCGGUUUAAGAAAUGGAGAAGACUCAUAUUGCAUCCACAAAUUCUACAGAUAGAGUUCAAUGAAGACCAAGUGGUUGUGAUAGUUUGAGAAGUAACAUAUUUAAGGUGGUAAAAACCCUGUUCACGGAGCAAGGUGGGACUAAACUUAGGUGCAAGGAGUGGACUAAACUUAGCAGUAGCGAGCUUUGUCAAAAGGCGCUACUACUAACAUCAAUAGCAGUAGCGUUGUUUAUAAUAAGGUGCUACUGCUAUAACUAGCUUGGCGGCGAGGUCGUGGCAAUUAUAGCAGUAGCGCUCUUUUCUACUGGCGCACUACUGCUAUUCUGAUUUCAGCAGCGUGUUUUGUUGACACGCGCUACUACUAAAUAGUAGUAGCGCCUAUUUUAAGCGCGCUACUGGUAAGAUUCUGUGUAUAAGGUUUUCCCUAUUAGUGGUAGUGGGGCCCACAGCCCUCCAUUUGACCUAACUCCACCCCUAUAAAUACUCUAAAAUCAGGAAACCUACCAGGGAGUCCACGAAAUACUUUUUCCGCCGCUGCAAGCCUCUGUUCUCGAGAGAUCCCAUCUGGGGACCCUUUUUGGCACUCUGCGGGAGGGGGAAACGAGGGGUUAUUCGUCAACCUUGCUGCCCCUCGGAUGGUGCAUGAGUAGUUUACCAUAGACCUACGGGUCAAUAGUUAGUAGCUAUAUGGCUUCUUCUCUCUUUUUGAUUCUCAAUAUAAUGUUCUCGUUGUUGUUCUUAGUGGUCUAUUUGAUGUAAUGACUGUUUGCGGUGUGUUUGUUGAGAUCCGAUGAAUUGUGAGUUUAUGAUCAGAUCUAUCCAUGAAUAUUAUUUGAGUUUUCUCUUAACUCUUUUAUGCAUGAUUAAUAUAGCUUCGUAUUUCUUUUCCGAACUAUUGGUUUUGUUUGGCUAACUAGAUUGAUUUAUUUUGCCAUGGGAAGAGGCACUUUGUAAUGGGUUCGAUCUUGCGGUGCUCGAUCCCAAUGACAGAAGGGGGUAUGACAUGUAUGUCUCAUUGCUAUUAAGGGUAAAAAGAUGGGGUUUAUUCAUACAUGAGUUUAUCUUGUCUACAUCAUGUCAUCUAGCUUAAAGCAUUACUCCAUUUUUCCAUGAACUUAAUACACUAGAUGCAUGCUGGAUAGCGGUCAAUAUGUGGAGUAAUAGUAGUAGAUGCAGAAUCAUUUCAGUCUACUAAUCUUGGAUCUGAUGCCUAUAUGUUUUAUCAUUGCCUUGGAUAUCAUCAUAAAUAUUUGAUUUUCUAUCAAUCGCUCAAUAGUAAGUUUUCUACCCACCAUAUGAUAUUUUCUCGAGAGAAGCCUCUUGUGAAAACUAUGGCCCCCGGGUCUAUCUUUUAUCAUAUAUUAAAUCUAAAAAUAGCUUACUGCAAUUUUCUUUUUUUAUUUGAUAUUUUUGUUAGAUCUAUCUAUCAAAACUAUACAAUUUAAGCUUGGUCGUAACCGGUGAGGAUUGACAACCCCUCUGUGUGUUGGGUUGCAAGUAUUUGUUGUUUGUGUGUAGGUGUUAUUUAUAUAGUGUUGCUUGGUUCUCCUACUGGAUUGAUAACUUGGUUUCAUAACUAAGGGAAAUACUUAUCUCUACUGUACUGCAUUACCCUCUCCUCUUCGGGGAAAUCCCAAGGCAGCUCACAAGUACCAUGUGUCCUUGAGUUAAUGUCUAUGUCCCAUGCGAGAAAUGUGAAUGAAUUUCAAACAUCUGGGCAUCGUGGCUCGGCCCGAAACAUUGAGAAACUUGGUUUUUAAAUUCCUAUAAAUCCAAAACUCGCCCGAAAAUCAUAGAAGUUGGCAUGGUCUCAUGACAUGGCACCAACAUGUUGUGGUAAAAAUUUCGUCAAAAUUUGGGGCAAGUUUUGGUGUGAGCUUGUUACAAAACGGAGCUUCUCUCAAGAAGCAUCAUGGUUCCAAGAGGGGACAUGUCACCUAUGUGUGCGAAAUGACAUAGACAGCCUCUUCCCACCUUGAGAUUUUUAUAGAGGCAACAUAGACCAGGAGUAUCUUGCUAAUUUUAGGAAUUAAUUCGGGUUCGUUUUUCCUUUUUAAUACAUUAAUUGAAUUUCUAGGCAUCUAAUGUGCAUAAUUCAAAUUUGAACUACAAGCACAUGCUCCAGUGCACUGAAAUGAAUUGAAAAAUCAUAUAUGUGUCCUUGGGUGAAUGUUUAGGUCCCAUGCAAGAAAUGGGAAUGAAUUUCAAACACCUCGGCAUCAUGGCUCGGCUGGAAACAUUGAGAUAAUUGGUUUUUAAAUUCCUGUAAAUUCAAAAAAUCGCUUGAAAAUCACAAAACUUGGCAUGGUAUCAUGAAAGGGCACCAACAUGUCGUGGUAAAAAAUUGUCUAAUUUGGGACAAGUUUUGGUGUAAGCUUCUUACAAAAAAGGAGCUUCUCUCAAGAAGCCUCAUGGGUCCAAGAGGGGAUGUGUCACCUCUCUUCGCGAAACGACAUAGACCGCCUCUUCCCGCCUUGAUUUUUUUACAGAGACAACAUAGACCAGUGGAAGUAUCGUGCUAAUUUUAGGAAUUAAUCCGGGUCCGUCUGGCCUUUUUAUACAUUAUCUAAGUUUUAUAGCCAUUUAAUGUGCAUAAUUCAAAUUUGAACUACAUGCACAUGCUCCAGUGCACCAAAGCUGGUUGAAAAAUCAUAUGUGUGUCCUUGAGUGAAUGUUUAGGUCCCAUGCAAGAAAUGGAAAUGAAUUUCAAACAUCUGGGUGUCGUGGCUAGGCCCAAAACAUAAAGAAACUUGGUUUUAAAAUUCUUCCUAAUCCAAAACUCGCCUGAAAAUCAUGAAACUCAGCAUGUUGCCUUCACAUGUCACCAGCAUGUUGUCGUAAAUUUUUUGUCCAAUUUGUGAAGGCGCACACAUUAACAAUCAACAAAGUCACUUUGGAACAAGAGUUGUUGAUAUGUCUCCAAUGUAUCUGUAAUUUUUUAUUGUUCCAUGCUGUGAUAUUAUCAUUCUUGAACGUUUUACAAUCAUUUAAUAGCAUCUUUAUAUCAUAUUUUGGGACUAACCUAUUGACAUAAUGCCCGGUGCCAGUUGCUAUUUUUUGCUUGUUUUUUACUUCGCAAAAUAUCCCUAUCAAACGGAGUCCAAAUGCAGCGAAACUUUUUGGAGAAUUUUUUUGGACCAAAAGACAACUUAGGAGCCAAGGAAGCACCAGAGGGAAGGCCCAUGGGGCCCACAAGACACCAGGGAGCACCAGAGACCCCAGGUGCGCCCUGAUGGGUUGUGGGGCCCAUGAGGGUCUCCUACACCGCCUCUUCGCUCUAUAAAUUCUCAGGUAUUUCAGAAACCCUAGGGGAGCAGACAAAACACAAUUCCAGCUGUCGCAAGCUCCGGAACCACGAGAUCCAAUUUAGAGCCCUAUUUCGGCACUCCGUCGGAGGGGAACACGGUCACAGAGGGGUUCACCAUCCUCAUUGGUGCUCCUCCGAUAAUGCAUGAGUAGUUCACCAUAGACCUACGGGUCCGUAGGCAGUAGCUAGAUGGCUUCUUCUCUCUUUUUGAUUCUCAAUACAAUUGUCUCUUGGAGAUCUAUUUGAUGUAAACUUUUUGUGGUAUAUUUGUUGGGAUCCGAUGAAUUUUGAGUUUAUAAUCAGAUCUAUAUCCAUGAAUAUUAUUUGAGUUUCUUUAAUCUCUUAUAUGCAUGAUUGUUAUAGCCUCGUAUUUCUUCUUUGAAUCUUUGGUUUAGUUAGGCCAGUUAGAUUUUUUUUCUUUCCAUGGGAAGAGGUGCUUUGUGAUGGGUUCGAUCUUGUGGUGUCCUCACCCAAUGACAGAAGGGGUAGCGAGGCAUGCAUGUAUCAUUGCUAUUAAGGACAAAAAGAUGGGGUCUAUUCCUACAUGAAUAUAUCUUGUCAACAUCAUGUCAUCGUUCUUAUUGCAUUACUUCGUUUCUCCAUGAACCUAAUACACUAGAUGCAUGAUGGAUAGCGGUCGAUGUGUGCAGUAAUAGUAGUAGAUGCAAAAUCGUUCUGGUCUAUAAUCUUGGACGUGGUGCCUAUAUACAUGAUCAUUGCCUUGGAUAUCGUCAUAAUUAUUCGAUCUUCUAUCAAUUUCCCAAUAGUAAUUUGUUUACCCAUCGUAUGCUAUUUUCUCAAGAGAAGCCACUAGUGAAAUCUACGGCCCUUGGGUCUAUCUUUUAUCAUAUUGCUUUCAUAUCUAUUUUUCAUCAUAUUUGCUUCCAGAUCUAUUAUUUCAAAACCCCGAAAUACCUUGCUGCACUUUUUCUUUACUUAUUUUAUUUGGCAUUUUGUUCUGAUCUAUUUAUCCAAUCUCAUACAAUUUAAUCUAUCUUUUUAUCGAGGAGGGAUUCACAACCCCUCUUACGCGUCAGGUUGCAAGUAUUUGUUCUUUGUGUGCAGGUACCGUUUACAUAGAGUUGUCUGGUUCUCCUACUGGAUUGAUAACCUUGGUUUCAUCACUGAGGGAAAUACUUAUCGUACUUGUGUUGCGUCAUCCCUUCCUCUUUGGGCAAAUACCGACGUAGUUUCAAGCCAAGUCAAAAGGAAUUUCUGGUGCCGUUGCCAGGGAGACAUCAUCAACAUCUAUCACGUUCCUAAUCACAAAUCUCAUCUCCUUGCAAUUUACAUUAUUUUCCAUUUGCCUCUCAUUUUCAUCUCCCCCACUUCACAAAGUUUUUCCUUUUUAUUCACCUUCUUUUUUGUUCGACUUUUUCUUGUCAGAUCUCUUCUUUGUUUGCAAUCUUGUUUGCGUAGUCACGAUAUCUCAAGAAAAUACCAAAUUAUGUGAUUUUUCCAAUACCAAUAACAAUUAUUUUAUUAGCACUUCGAUUGCUCUUCCCGCCACUAGUGCGGAAUCUAGUGAUAUUAAUGUCGCUUUGUUGAAUCUUGUUAUGAGAGAUCAAUUUUCCAAUACUCCUAAUGAGGAUGUCGCGUCCCAUCUAAACACAUUCAUAGAAUUGUGUGAUAUGAAAAAUAAAAAAUAUGUGGACAAUGAUAUUUUGAAGUCAAAAUUAUUUCCUUUCUCCUGGCGGGAUCACGCUAAAAUUUGGUUUUCUUCUUUGCCCCGCAAUAGUGUCGAUUCUUGGAAUAAGUGCAAGGAUGCGUUUAUUACUAAGUAUUUUCCGUUUGCGAAAAUUAUUUCCCUUAGAACCCAAAUAAUGAAUUUUAAGCAACCUGAGCAUGAACAUGGUGCGCAAUCUUGGGAAAGAAUGAAAUUGAUGCUAAGAAUUGUCCUACCCAUGGUUUAAGUCUUUCGAUGAUUAUACAAAAACUUUAUGCAGGAUUGAAUUUUGCCUCUAGAAAUCUUUUAGAUUCCGCCACGGGUGGUACUUUUAUGGAGAUUACUUUGGGUGAAGCUACUAAAUUUCUAGAUAAUAUCAUGGCAAAUUAUUCACAAUGGCAUACUGAAAAAGCACCUACUAGUAAAAAAGUUAAUUCAGUUGAAGAAAUUAGUACUUUGAGUGAAAACGUUGAUGCUCUUAUGAAAUUGGUUGCUAGUAAAAAUGCCCCUAUUGAUCUUCAUAAUGUGCCUUUGUCUACUUUGAUUGAGCAAAAUAGUGAUCCCAUAGAUGUGAAUUUUAUCUCGCAAAACAAUUUCAAUAAUAACGCUUAUAGAUGUAAUUUUAAUCCUAGGCCUUUUUCUGGAAAUUUCUCUAAUAAUUAUGGUACUUCCUAUGGUAAUUCUUCUUACAAUAAUAAUAGGAACCCCUCUGAUCUUGAGAGUAAUAUUAAAGAAUUUAUCAAUGCCCAAAAGGUUUUCAAUAGUACCAUAGAAGAAAAGUUGAAUAAGGUUGAUGAUAUGUCUAGAAGCAUUGAUAGAAUUUCCCAUGAUGUAGAAAAUCUCAAGAUUAAAAAUUUUCCACCUAAGGUUGAUGUCAGUGAACCAAUUAAGGCUUUAUAUGUUUCUAUGCAUGAUAGUAAAAAAAAGAACUACUAUUCUUAGAGCUAAAAGAGAAUUUUUUAGAAAGAGCGUUUUUUACCUAUUGCUUUCAUAAUAAUGAUGAGAAUCUUAAAUUAAUUGGUGUUUCUUCUAUUAAUUCCUUGCUUAGUAAAAUUAAAAUUGAUGAUCAAGGGACUGAAAAAGAGUCAACUUUAGCUAGAAGGAGUCCCCAUGAUUCGGAGGGUGGAAAUCUUGAUGAAAAUUUGAUAAAAAUGAGUUUGGAGAGGUCAUAACUUUAACUAGCGAUGUGCCCACUCUUUUGGAUUGCAAAGAAUUUAAUUAUGAUAAUUGCUCUUUGAUUGAAUGUAUUUCUUUGUUACAAUCCAUGAUAAAUUCACCCCCUGCUUAUGAGAAAAAUAAAGCUCUUAUUAAACAUCUUGUUGACGCCAGCGGCGGCGCUGGGGGUCUUCCUGGGUAUUCCCUGGAAUACCCAAGAUUUAGGCCCAAUUUUUUUUCAAUAUACAUAUGUUAUAUUGGCUCAGUACAAACAGAGGACAAAGCGAGCCACGCAGCGAACCAGACAGAUGACCGAGCGGUGUCUGGUUGGUCGCGCGGGCGAGGAGCCAAGCAGGCAAGCGCCUCUCGUCCUCUCCCAGCCCCAGGCCCCAGUAGUUCCCACUUCCCAGUCUCCCUCCCCGGCUCCUCCGAUUCCCAAUCCCAAACCUAGCGGCAGCGGGCAGCGGCGAUUCCAGGUCUGACCGGCCCUCUCCUUCCCUCCCCUCGGGCCUCGGCCUCCGGCUCCGCCCCUCCCCUCCGUGAACUGCAUAUGGUCCGCCUCCGGUCAGGGCGUCCCGCCGGAGGCCGGUCCCAAUCCCGCGUCCGCCGUCCGGCCGUCUCCUCCGCAAGGCGCCAGUCCGCCUCCGAGAUCCGGCCUCCGGCCUCCAGUGGCCCCUAUUGACUCGACUUCCUCCACGGCUGGCCGUCUCCUCCAGCUGACCAGCUCCAAGAUAUUUUUUGCCCUGUGUAUUUUGGUAUGUGUAUUCUUGCCCUGUGUAUUUUGCAAGCACUAGACAUGCCCACUCUAACUCAUCAGGGAAGACCGAUGACCACUGUGACCCGGUUGAUUUUUGCCAUGUGCCCACUGUAACUCAUCAGUAAAACUAACUAGACCUGCUUUUUGCCCUGUGUAUUUUGUAAGAAAUCUGAAGAUUUGUGUGUAAACUGAAAUUGAACUAAAAGGAUGUCAUCACUUUAUCAAUCAAAAGGUACUUAUAUAUUCAUGUCGUUAUGGUCUGAUACAUUGAAAUGUUGCUAUUGCUGUUAUGCUAGUGUUGUUUUGUUUAUAUAUUGUUACUGUUGUGUUUUUGGUUCAUAUACUUACAUUUAGAGCAAAAAAAUAUUUUGAAUGAAUACCCAGCCUUCAUUUCCUGGCGCCGCCACUGGUUGACGCCAUGAUGAAAGCUCUAGAAGAAAAUUUGGAAUAAGAGAUUUCAAUACCUAGAAAACUACAUGAUGAAUGGGAAUCUACCAUUAAAGUCAAGAUUAAAAAUUAUGAGUGAUUUGCUUUAUGUGAUUUGGGUGCCAGUGUUUCCAAAAUUCCAAAAUCUUUAAUAAUAAACAUGUAUCAUGAAAUAAGGAAAUAUAAAAUAACAACUUUAUUAUUGCCUCUAGGGCAUAUUUCCUUCAAGGGAAGCCUUGUUCGUGGAGAUCAACGCGGAGGCGGACGAAGAGGAGGCAGAGGCGCAGGACAUACUCAGCUCCACGUGGUUGCGCCACCGGGAUGGUUCGUGCCCGCCCGCAAUGACCUUGUGGCCGACCCGUCCACGUCUGGCAUCGUCCACACGACGGACUCUGGCGAGGAAGAAUAGAAGGUGGCACACGAACGUGGGCACACCUAGUGUCCCAUGUGGGCCAUAUCCCAUAUUGGACGUCGUAUGCUUCCUCUCGCACAGCUUCACUUACCGGGGCUCACAGCCAUUUAGCUUGCCGGACAUGGGAAAGACAGCAUGUGGAACACAGACGCCUCCCCGCCGGCGAAGAUUUUAGACUACGUUAAAAAAGUGCCAUCCACUUUUGUUUAGUUAAACCUAAAUCCUAAAAAGUGUAGCUGUGCUCGUUAGCACACUCGAGCGCACACGUCUCUGCGCCGUCCGAUCGCGAUCACGCCCACCAGGUGCGCCGCUGUCUGUUUUUCCUCGCUCGCGCGUUUCACUUGGUCGGCCCGUCGCCCGUUGGGUGGGAGCGUCGGUUCCGGGUCCCACCACUUCCUCUCCUCUCGCGUCCGUCUCCCCUCAUUUUCGAAACUGUUCACCCACUCCGCCCCAAAUCCCGCAAUCUCUCCUGCCCCUGCCCCAAAUCCGCCACCGUUCGUCCCGCCGGGGUUGAGCUAUUCACGGCGAAGGGGAGGUAGCCAGCGCCGCGCGACGGCCAGUUGCGGGCAGCCAUUCACGGCGAAGGAGAGGCAGCCAGCGGCGCGCGGCGACCAGGUGCGGGCGGCGGUUCCUGGCGAGGGGGACGAUAGCCAGCGGUGCGUGCGGCGCGCGGCGACCAGGUGCGGGCGGCGGUUCCUGGCGAGGGGGACGAUAGCCAGCGGCGCGUGCGGCCUCCAGGUGCGGGCUGAGUUUACCGGCAAGGGGGAGGUAGCCAGCGGCGCACGGGCACCAGGUGCUUCUGUUGCGUUCCCUGUUCCCGGAAGAGGAGAAGUAGGCUGUGCUGCGGCGCCGCUCACGGUCGUCGGAGUACAAGUCGUCGACAGGGGAGAAACGGCCGCUGCGAGCGCCGUGCCGUUCACGCAGAGGUCAGGGUCGCGUAUAGGACGACCAUCUCCCUGCUUCGCAAUCGUUUGGUAAGGAGAUCUGGCCUUGUUUUUCUUUUGCGCUUGUUGCCCUUGUCUUGAAAUUGACGAGUAGAUAGUUGACGAGUAGAUAGUGGACGUUUGGGAUUGUUUGGCAAGGUGAUUCCACUACUGGUUGGAUGUAGGUGGUUUGAAGCCAGUUUGUCGGAUGUUUUUUGGGAUGCUGGGUUGAAGGUGAAGUGUUGUUUGGGAUGCUUAUCACAGAGGUAGUUUAGUUUUUGUUCACAUUUUCUGUAGUGUUGUUGUACUGUUGCCAUAGUGUUGAGAGCGAAUUGCUCAGUAUGGUGCAAAAGUUGCCCACACUGAAACUCUGUAGUUUGUCCCCUUUUUUUUGUCAAGUUGCUCUAGUUUUGCGAGCGACUUGCUCAAUAUGUUUCUUGAAGUUGCCCAUAUAGAAGUUCUGUAGUUUUUUGUUCGUUUUUUGCUUCACUGCGGUGAAUGACUUGCUCAAUAUGUUGCCAGAAGUUGCUCAAUGAAGUAUUUGGGCAUCAGGAAAAAACCUGUAUGUUGGUAUCAAAACCUGAAUUAGGGUCAUUGUAGUAUGUUGUCUGUCCAUAUGUUCCUAUCUCUUAUAUGUGUGAACAAUACUUUCAGAUCAAGCAACCCGCGAUAAGGCCAUGGGUAGAUGUAGAAUAGAGGGAACUAGUUUAUUGGUGUCAAUUUUUAAUCGACAUUGGUGCAAGUUGCUUGAUCUGAAAAAACAGUGUGUCUGAUGUGCUUCAGUUUUUAUUUACACUUUAGUCCAACUUUAUAUAGCAAAACAGAAAUAAAUUCAGCUUUAGUUUUAGCUCUAGUUGCCUUAUAUGACUACCCGUUUUGCCAGCAUGUCAUGUUUUCUUUCUGUAUGAGUUUGCCUGACACUUUUGCAUCAGUUUUUUAGUUUUGUUUUUUUAAUGUGAUCAUGCAUUUUAUGUGUGUCAUUCUGUGUUUACAUGACUAGGCUGAACACUAGGAAAUUUGCAGUUUUUUACUCCUUUUUUCAUGUGUGAUGAUGUUCUUUUUUACGUGCAGCACGAAAACAUGUCGGGGGCAAGCAAAAAAGGCAUACAGGAUGCCCCCCUGCAUUGGAUUCUGUUGAUGGCGCAUCUCAUGCAACUGAAACCCGUAGGAUGGAGGUGUGCAGAAUUCAUUAAAUCAUUUUCGAAACAUUCUACCUUUUUCCUUAUCUUCAUUCUUGGUUUAUUUUUUCAUAACUUCAUGUUAUGGAUUGUUACUUAUGUGUUUAUCUUCAUUUCUCAGGCUCAAAGCAGUGAACCGUUAGUUGGGUACAAGCGCCAGAGGAGUAAGGCAAUUAUCUGCCGAGGGAAGCGCCCUGAUGAUAUUGUGAGUAAUGAGAGUCUUCCCGGAGAUGCUGAAAAUGUGAGUGACAAAAGCGGUGGUGUGGAUAAGCCACCAAAUCCAAAGCGGCAGAAAACCGAAGGAAACGAGGUAUUUUCUGCUUCACCUUAUUGAAACAAUUGCCUAGUAGUGGUGUCUAAAUUGCUUUGCAUAUUCCAUUUUUGUUGAUUUUUGUUUCUUCUGUUUUUCAAACUAUUUUCCCAUAGGGUCGUAGGAAUAGGGCAUCGCCUGCAAGGCUGUUCAAAUUGAAUAAAGAGUUGGUUUCUAAUCAAAAAGGUGUUAUUAUUGGAAAAGAGUUUGGAGGCCUGCUGGACCUUGCAGCGAACAGCAUGCCUGGCGAUCUUAGUCAAUGGAUAAUGAAGCAUUAUGAUCCAGAGAUGUCACAGAUAGUUAUUCUAGAGAGGGGGAAGAUUCCAGUAGAUGCUGCGAGUGUUCGGAGGAUAUGGGGUUUGCCAAAUAGGGGGAGAAAAGUCUGUUACGAAAACCGCCCUGAGAUCACAAAGGCAAUGUUCAGGAUUUACAAUAUCACUUCAAAGAAUUCACCAUCUCUCACAGCAUGGUGCAAGAUGAUCAAAGAUAUGGCAGGAGCUCACGAUGACGACUUCCUACGCGCAUGGUUGUCUCUUGUCUUCUCUUGCUUCCUUGCACCAUCUACAAGUUUAAGCAUUUCACCAAAAAGCUUCCCUGCGGUCAUGGAUGUAAAUGGAAUAACUGAAACCAACAUAUUCCAGUUUGUGGUUGAUCAACUAAAGCUAGCAUUCAAAUCAGGUCGUGCCAAGAAGGCCGUUUGUUGCUGUGUUUUCCACCUCGUAGUAAGUCCACCUACCUUUUGAAUAUGUAUGUUUCCUAUGUGCUCUAUGUUUUCUUAAAAAUCAUAUCAUAACUCAAACUUUAUGUUUUUCUUAUCCGGAACUCAGUUGCUGUAUCUAGACUCUUUGGAUGUUGAUGAACCAAUUCCCAGCUUGGUACCAAGGGUUUCAGUUUGGAAUUCAGAUUUGAUGGCAAGAGUUAUCAAGAAGGACAGGAAAGCUCCCGGGGAAUAUGGGAAACUGCGGGUAAGCUAUUUUUUGUCAUCACAUCUGUAUUCAGUAAUUGAAUUUUAUUUGCUUUAAAAGGCAUAAGGUUAGGCAAAUCUAGCUUCUCAUAGAGGAGGCAAUUGAAUUAUAAGGUCCAAACAAGUACAAAGUUUUUUGUGGUCAUUUUUUUUGUUAUCUUGUCACUAUUUUGUAGCUGAUGCAUAAGAUUUUGUCAACAAGUAGGCAAGUCCAACACAUUGCCCGUAGCAAUUUGUAUAUUGGACAGUAGCAAGUUCAAAAGUACUUCAUGAACCAACUUUGUAGUUGUCUACUCAUUUUGUUUACCCUUGUUUGCAACUGCAUGCAACAGGUAGGAUUUUUGCUGGGGCAGUUAUAGCAGCUGAUGUCUAAAUUUUUUAAGAAAAAAUAGGCAAAUCCAAUAAUUUCACCAUAGCAAGUUGCACACUAAACAUUAGCAAGCUCAUAGUUUUUUAUGGCAACUUGAUGGUUUCCUAUAAUUGAUAUAGUCCUGCUAAGUUAUAUACUGAAAAACUAAGCGAUUCUACAUGCUAGAAACCCCAUCCACACAUGAUAAGGAAAUUUAGGCAAAAAUGAUGCCACAGUGCUUGACUUGGGUUAAAGCAUGCAUUUGUUUUUCUGUAAACUUGGCAACAUGAUAGGCUAGUUUUCUAACUAAAAAUGGCAGUUAAAUCAAAGCACUCUCACGAGCAUUUUACGGUUUCUUUUUUUUUCUGUUGUCAAGCCAGUGCCAGAAUUCACUAAUUCCUUUUAUCCCAUCCUUUAUUGUUUUUUUUGCCAACCCAACGAGCAGCUGAAGACUGAGUUCUCACGGUGUGCGGAUGAUAGCUUGUGUGGUAGCAUGGACCACGUCACAAAAUUUGUAGCAGCAAGAUUACCUGAGUCAUAUGACGAAAAUGUAAGUUAUCAAGUGCCUGUUAUGCUCACUAGUUUUUCCAUUUUUAAUCUCAAACCAACAUAUUGUCAAGACUUAUCAUGUUCAUCCAUUUUUUCUACUUUCCUGUUGUUUGCAGAAACAAAAGAAGCUGACACGUAUGGUGCACGAAAUGUGUUCAACUAUUUCACAUGCAGUUGGGAAGCUUGUUUCUGGUAUUGGGGGGAUAGAUGAUGCGCAAGAGGGGACAAGCAGAUCAGAGGCUGUUCAUUUGGAAAAGAGGAGGCAAGAACCUACUAGGAGAUCCAAACAAGCUCCAGCUAUGAGAGAAAGCUUAUCGAGUGAAGAAGACUCCUUCAAAACUGACAGUGAGGAAGAUGCAAGUGGCAGUGACAAAAGUGACUGGGACAGAGGGGGUGAUGAAAGUGACAACGACGGCCACUCAAGCAAUGAUGAUGGUGACGACUUUGUAGUUCAAAAAGCUGGAUGCAACGACAACGAGGAGGGAGAAGCAACUUUUCAGGAGAGGGGAGCAGUAAUGGAUGAAAGCAAGGAGGAUAAGGAGGACGAAGAGGAGGAGGAAGAAAAAAAAGAUGAGGAUGAAGAAAAGGAAGACGAUGAUGAUGAAGAAAGCGAAGACAAUGACAACGACAAUGACAAAGACACGGGGGACGAUGAUAUGCAGGGUGAUGAGGAAGACCAGGAUGACAACAAUUCUGGUGGCAACAGUGGCAAUGGCGGAAACAAUGGAGGGAACGAGGAUUCUGCAGGUGAGGAAACAGAGACUGAUGACGAGCAAUCCACACUUCAAUAUUUACUCGAAGAGAAAAAGGAUAUGAAGCCAAAGGGGCUUGACGAGGCAGUUAGCAUCUCUGUGAGAGAUGUUGUUAUGAUGGACAAGGAAAGUUACUGCAAAAUGCCACGCAUCCGCAUGUUUGAAGUGAAAGAAAUGUUGGAUCUCGACGAGCAGCCUAUUGCAGUGCUAGCGAGCAAAAUGUUCCAAGAGCUAUUGAGAAAAGAAGAAAUGGAACUGGGGAUGGCAUUCAAUCUUGAGGAUGUCUGCCCCAAGUGGAUUCGCAAGAAAAUCAUGAGGGAGAUAGGGGCUCCACAUGAACCCAAGGAAGUUGGUGUACCACCACUUCCAACACCAAAGAAGAAAAAGAGUGUGAGUUUCAUAUCAGAGCCAACGGUGUUAACAGAGACAAUGGAGGAACUGCGAGCUAUGCGUGCCCAAAAUGUUCAAGAACUGCAAGGUGGAAAGGAAACAAAGUCAGCCAUGAAGAAAUCUGGGCCUUUUCAGUUGCAACAUCAGGCAUUACAUCAUGCAAAAGAGGCAAGUUCUAGCACUCACAAGAACCAGCUUGAAACCAAUACAGCAUCAAGCUCAACAGCACGACAUGCAGAUCUCACCAGUGGCAAAGAUACAAAUGUUGCAGUUUCACCAGGGACUGUUUCAAAACAAGAACCAAGUGCCUCACAAAUUCUAGCAAGUCAUCCUAGGGAGGAAGCAAGUUCAUCUAAUUUUCAGGCAAGUAUUGCACAUGCAUCAAUUCAACCCACAGCAGGAGGAGCAACUCAAAUGAAACAGGAUGCAUCAUUGCAAGUAAGCAGAGCAGUCCCUAGUACAAACCGUAGUGGGAGGCAACCACUAAGCAGUCUAAAUGGUCAAGCACAAAAUCUUGUUCUAGGGAAUGGGAUGCAAUCAGCCAAUGACAUCCAGAGGGGCAAAUUGUUUCAUUACAAAGCAUCACAACAGGCUGUACCAUUAUAUGCAGGUCAGGAGAACAUACCUCCAGUGUCAAUCACAGGGGUUGGAGGGAUGGAAGAUGUCAUCGGCGGCAACAUUAAACCAAGUUCGGAAGCAAAGUUGCUAAAAGUUCAGGGCAAGUUGCCUGCUUUUAUUCCUACAGUUGCCCAAUCACCUCCCCAUCCGCAGCUGAAGAAUAUCAAAUUUAGUUAUGCUAACAAGGCGGUCAGUCCACUGGAAAUAAAUGUGCUAGAUGUCAGUGAGCUCUUGGCAAGGUGCGUUCCCCCAUCUACCAACGAUCUGCAAAGAAAGUCAGCAAUUCAUAUUCCAGCAGAGAUGGAUGGACAACAAUUUCAGCAUAGCAGAAGUGAAAGCUCAAAUGUCUUUGUUAGUGAAUACUGCCCAGCUCCAAGUUUUGAUAUUUUCAAAUACGAUUUUCCUACAGCACAUGUAGAUGAUGGAGCAGAUCGAGAUGCCAGAGAAAAUGCAUUGGCUGACCAUGAGUCAUCGCAGUGCCAAGUAACCAAGGAGCCAGUCAUUGAAAUUAUUGAAGAUGAAAAAGUUGGUAAUCUCGAAGGCAUAGAUGAAGGGUAUGCACAUGCAGAAGAACAGGCUAUGAAGUGUGAGCAUGAGUCCCUGCAGUAUCAAGUACCCAAGGAGCCACUCAUUGAAAUAAUUGAUGACGAUCAUGUUGUGGAUCUUGAAGGCAUAGUUGGGAACAUUUACCAGACACCUAAAAAAGUUACCCACAACCAAGUAGUAGUGGGAUCAGGCAGUAAUAUUUAUAGCAGCAGCAGCUCAGGAAAGAUGGUCCCACAACAAUUUGAGAGAAGGAUUAUCAAGCCACCUCCUUGCAAGAGGUCACCAUUCUUGGACUAUAAUGAGAGGAAAGUGUACAUAUGCAAACCUGAAGUAAGCAGGCUGUAUGCAUCGGUUAUUCUGCACGGGAGAUUGAAUGAAGAAGAAUCACCAGAUGUAGAUACUAGGUAUGAAAUUUUUUAUGAGGCAUUUUUUACAUGUUUUUUCUAGGCAAUUAAAAUGCACCAUUCAGGCAAUUCAGGCUGAAUUCAUAGGCAAACAGAAGUAAAACAAGCAGGCAAAAAGUCACCCCAUGAAGAAUACAUGCUAACCAGAAUGCACUUUCAGGCAUUAAUACAUUUUUCCCAUGCCUUAUAUAUGCUAACUAGACAUGCACUUUUUAGGUAGAAAGAAUUCAUUGCAAAUUGUCACAACCCCAAGUUUAUGUUCCUUAGGCAAAACAGGAUCUAUUUAUAGGCAAUCAAAAGUACAGCAGCAGGCAACUUGGGUGCUAACUAGACAUGCACUUUUAGGUAGAAAGAAUUCAUUGCAAAUUGUUACAACCCCAAGUUUAUGUUCCUUAGGCAAAACAGGAUCUACUUCUAGGCAAUCAAAAGUACAGCAGCAGGCAACUUGGUUACUUUUUUCUCAUGGUUGUCCUUUUUCGGUUUCUCGUUUUUUAUUGCAGCCCGAAGGUAAUUGACUACAAUGGAUAUGAUGUGUCGGUGAGGGAGCUUGCAAACUCUAUGAAAAAAGAAGGAUAUAUCUUGACACAUGUAAUGGAAAUUGGCCUGCAGACUCCAAGAAGGUUGUCAUGCCCCUGAGGUUCUCGGUAAGGAAAAGGACUAGGAGUCAUUAUUACUUCAGGUUCUGCAUUUUUUUGUACUUGGUUCCUACUUGGUCAUUUCUAACCACCUUGUCCCUUUUUGUGUUAUAGACAAGGAUGCUGCAGAUGACUUUCCUCUCCAAUGAUAUCAACAGCCAAGAGAUUAUUUCCCGAUUCAAGAAAUCAAAUCACCUGGACCGGAAAGACAUGGUAAGUCCAUGUUUCUCGAAUUUCCACUAUAGUACUCUUCUCCCAUUCCUUUUUUUCCACCCGCAUGUGAAUAGCAGAGUACUAGUUUUCAGGACAUGCAUGAAAGUUGCCAGAGUGCAGAAUCACAAUUAGCUUUUCGGCAUAGCAUGAGAAAACUUUUACAUGCUUUCCGUAUCUCUUCAAGUUGCCUACAGACUAUGUUCUUACCCUCAGCUUUUAUUUUCUGCACUUUUUCCCACAGAUAAUGUUUAUUGUGUUAGAGAAUAUCGACAAGUCAAAGAAGGUUUCAGGCAACCAUUAUUGGGUCUUCAACAUGAAUAUAAGGGAUCGAAGGUUCGAGGUGCUUGAUUCAUGGAGGACACUUCAGGACAAGACUCUAGAUGUCUGCGCAAGGACUAUGGUUGCUAGUUUUCGGGCUCUGUGGGAAGAGCACUAUCCGAAGUCUCACAUCUCAUUAGAUGACUUCACACUAAGAAACAUUGAUGUGCCAAAACAAACUAACAAGUAAGCAUCAAUUCCCAGACAAACUGCAAAACAAAUUCCUAACAAAUUCAUGCUUGUUUCAUAGCUGACCUGAAACAUUCUCUAUAGAUAUGACUGCGGCAUUUUUGCUCUCUCAAUUGCAAAUGGGUGGGAAGGAAGGAACGUUCCAAGAUUUACAGCAGAGGAUGUUCAAAAUAUCAGGAAGCAGUUGACAAACAUGUGGGUUAACACCAAGCGCAACAAGGCUCCAUGGGAAGCUGUAUUGAAGUUAGCUUAGGUCAGUUAUUUUCUAUUCAUGUUUUUUUACUGAGUUUUUCUUUUUGCUCGCGUACAAACUGAAGUUUGCCAGCAUUAUUUUUACAUGAAUAAUAUUUUCAUCAUCGCCCUUUUUCCAGAAGUCAUAUGUAAUUUUUUGAACAUUCAAGGAGUUGCCUGAAACCAUUCUGUAACUUGCAACAACACCAAACAGAAUUUGCCUACCUUUCAAUGGUGAAAUGUAGUCAUGGAACACCCAUAUUUUUUGAACAAUCAAGGAGUUGCCUGAAACCAUUCUGUAACUUGCAAUAACACCAAAACAGAAUUUGCCUACUUUUUUCCACGGUGAAAUGUAGUCAUGGAACACUCAUAUUUAACACCAAUCUGUUUAACUGUAGUACCAGGCAAUCUAAACAUAAUAAUCACGCAAUCCAUUGUACUAAUAUAGUUAUCCAGAGCACUUUUGAACCUUACAGGCUUAAAAAGCAAGUUGUCUUUUUUGCAUGAAAGACAGUAAUUCAAAUGAGGGUAAACAUAUCAUCGGGCAUCUAGUAAUUGCUCAUUUUUUUGUCUUUCAUAAUCGAAACUCCAUCUGUGUUCCCGUAUUCCUGUGGUGUUCAUCACGCCAAUCUUGUGGGGCACAGUGCACUGUUGUGGUUGUAAGACCCACAGUAACUGCACUUGUUCUUCCUCUUCGGAUGCAGCUCGAGUGCUGAUUGCAACCUUUUCGACUUCGUUCUCCCUUUUGUAGUCGAUUUUGGGGGGUCUCUAGGAACUCGGGUGUCAGGUGUAGUAGAACCACCUUGCGCUGCUGCAACAGCUGCACGUAGGGAUUCCAUGUUGAGUGGUUGGCGUGCAUGUCCACCAGGAGGUUGCACCAAAGAAGAUGAGACUGGGGCAACAUGUGCUUGUUGCACAGUAGUAGAAGUUAUAUACAGCCCAGAAGCACAAGCAAUUGUUGCAGAAUCUGUAGGGAAUGCUGCAAGGCCAGCAUUUGUAAGACGACUCAUGUCUGCUCGUGUAGUAACCAUGGAUGGUGGUGCAUCCCCCCUAAGUGGUAGUGCAGGCCAGUAGGUUGUUUGGGGAGCCCUCAUCGUUGUUGGUUCAGGCUCUAUGGUUAGUGUUCCAGGUCUGAACAUUUGUCGCGGAGCCCCCCUCAGUUUUUGGCCAGGCCCACUGUUUAGGGUCGGAGUCGCCAACAGUUGUGGUGCAGGCCCCCUGGUUUGUGGCGCAGAUCCCAUACUCUGAGGUACAAAUCCUAACUGUUGCCCUGCAGCGAACGAGCUUGGCACCGCAGACCCCUUGUGCACUGGUGCACCCCCAACUAAUGUGUGUGGAUGCACACCCUGCCCCAUACUGUUUGUAGGUAGUGAUGUUGCAUUUUUUGGCUGUUGGGCAGAAAUAGUUUGACGCUGCCUAGCACUAGCAGGGGCUUGCGCAGCUUUUGGUGGUGCGUUGCCACUACUUGCUGAAGCAUUUGUCAUUGGUGGCACAGGACCACCAGCUGAUGGCGGUGGCCCACCAGUCGGUCCACUGGGAGGGGCUGCUGUUUUCUUUUUCCUUGACAGGCUGAGAUUCUUUAUUUCGUGACGCGCUCCACGCAUAUGCUUCUUUACAAUAUUUGUCGCAGCAUCCGAUGCACUAGCAACCUUAGCAAGUCCACCAAAGUCCAUCAUCAAGUUUGCAUGACGGAGUUCUUUCUUCGAUUGUUCCGGCAACUCAUCAGACUUAUCCUCAACAGCAGGCGGUGCAUCCGUGAUUGCUAGAGGUGUCCAUCUUCUUUUGAUGUACUGCGUUGGGAUUUCAUCAACCCCAAGAUGGUUGAAAACCUUCAAUAUAUGGCAGCAAAGCAUCCCAUCCCUAUGAAACUUGCAACACUCACAUCUGUAGUCUCCAGCACUAGUUUCAACAGUCACAAAAUAGCUCCUAGAACCAUACUUAGCAACCCAUUCUUGAUUGGGGUAAAGCUCAUACAAGUGUUCACCGUGGGGUCGCACGUUGUACCUUGUAGUCAACUGAAAUUCAUCGCGGAAUUUCUCGUACAAGUCUCUAGUGUAUGAAUUGUAGGCUUGCUUUUCAAUUGGGUAAGAUGACCACAUUUCACUUUGCAAAUGUCAUGUCCUGUAAUCCUUCGCACCCUCUCGAACUAGUAUGUGUGUUUGGAUUUUCUGAUAUUGCUUCACGAAGUUCAAGAUGGACUUGUGUGGGUUCACAUAACGCUUAAGGACAGCGUUGAACCCCUCACUGCGUUGUGUUGACUGCAAGAAAGGGAAGAAUUGAUGCUUGAAGUAACAGGGCACCCAUGUUUCUUGGUACUUGUAUAGAUUCUCAAAGUGGGAGUCAGUCAUAGCCUCAUACUUCAUCAUCAGCUCACACCAACCUGCCUCAAACUCCUGUGGUGUAAAGCUAAAGUCAACACAAUUGUUGAAAUCUUUAGACAAGCCAGGGUUUCGUCCCAACAAUGGCCCAAGCUUCUCUUGUGCUUUCUUCAUAAUAUGCCAGCGACAACAGCGGUGCACACUUGUAGGGAAGAUUUUCUUAAUUGACUACGCCAUUGCAAUGUCCUGGUCGGUUAUGAUGUUGGUUGGCGCUACUCCAUGCAUUGCUUCAAGGAAGGUUUCGAAUAGCCAAUCAAAACUAGAAGCCAACUCUUGCCUAACGAAACCACAGCCCAACAUAAAUGAUUGCCCAUGUCUAUUAAUUCCAAUAAACGGCGCAAAGGGAAUGUUGUACAUGUUAGUCAUGUAUGUUGUGUCAAAGGAGAUGCAAUCAUGAUAAGCUUCCACGUAUGCCUUCCUUGCUGCACCAUCGACCCAGAAAAUAUUCUCCACUCUGUCUUCUUCAUCAUACUUUAUCUUGUAAAAAAAGUCUGGAUCUUCUCUUUGCUGAUCUUUGAAAUAUGCUACUGUCUCUAUCAUGUCGCCUUCUCUUGUAGCAUCCUUGUUCAAGACCGUCUUCAGGUUUGUAAUGUGCUUAGUUCCAUAAGGCACAAUUAGCUCUGUCCCAUAGAAGUCUGACAUGAUGUGCAUCAUGCGCCCUGCAUUCAAUGGAGUCAAAAUGAAGUCAAAAUGGUGGUCAAACCCUUGUUACCUAAGAACAGUACAAAAAAACAAUUUUGAUUUCUUUCACCAACUAACACAACUAAGAACAGUCAACUCAGGUGGAUAUUUUAGGCAUUUUCAUCCUAAUGUACAAGCAACUAACACAACAAACAUGCAGGUAGGCAGGUAGAAGAAAUAGAAGAACAAGCUUCAUAAAACCAGUCAGACAAACUUAUUUUUGGGCUGUGGUUUGUACUAACAUGCAUUUGCACAAAAGGCGGGUAGGCAGGUAGUAAAUAUACAUUGAGCAACUAACAGACAAUUUAUAGGCAAGUCCAUCUACCACAUUUCACAACAAAGACAAGACAACAGAGGCACGACCCAUCGCGUUUGUUUUCUGAUCAAGAGCAGGCAAAUAAUACUUAAAAACAAGGCAAGUUUUAAUGGGUAGCAGACCUUUUUUCAUAAAAAACAAGCAUGUUUUGUGUGCUUAGUCUGGCAAAUCACACACAUGCUGCAAGCAAGAUGGAUACAAUACUUGGGCAAGUCUGGGCAGUUAAAAUUGUCGGAGAGAAGGGUAAUAUGGUUAUAGACCUGUUGUCAAGUUGCAGUUAUGUAGGUGGGUAAGGAAUGCCUUUUCUUCUGGUGGGAUACAUUGGUGCGAUCUCAAGUACUUAGUCAAACUUGGUUUGUCAACUAGUGGAUGGUUGUGCUCGCCAACAAAAUAUAUCACUUCCCAUCUGCCAUCUAUCAGUUUGACAACCAUCUUAGCUUUGCAACCAGUUUGCACUAUUUUAUCUCUCUUCCGCUUCUUGCUCCUCUUUUUGGUUUUAUUAUCAUCAUCAAGAAAGACAAUAUCCUCGUCUUCAUCAUCAUCUUUUGUUUGCUCAACGAUAUCAUCCAGCACAGGAAUUUUUUUUGCCCCUCCGUCAUCAGCUUCAGGCUUUCGAAACUUGUUGCAAACAAACUGUUGUUUUAUCAACACUCCAGUUUUCACAGCCUUCCUUGAAGUAUUCAUUUUGAUUGAAAAACCAAUCUGCAAGGCAUAUGCAUUGUAGUGCUCUUUUGCGCCUUCCAAAGUGUCAAACCUCAUGCCCACAUGAGGCUCCUUCGGUUGUGACCAAGCCUCUUCAUCAUUUUCAGCACCAAAGCCUGUCAAACCAUUACCAACAGUCACACUUGUAUCACCCGCGGCAUCCGUGCCAUCAAGGGUAUGGCCAUCAGUCUUAGAUUCUUGCGCUGCAGGUGCUUGCUCAUCUGUCUCCACUGUUUUUGCCACAGGAGUUGUGGCAUUUUGCACUAUAUGAGGAGUAGGAGAAUCACCGGUUAACUCAGGAUUUUGAGCAGCCUGUUGUGUAGAGUUCACUGGAUCACCAAUAUCCAUAUCAUCUGGUUCCUCAUUUAGGUCAAUCAUCUUUUUUACAGCAUGUGCAACAUUUAAACCAGAAAAACCAAAGCUAGUUAGUUUGAUGUCAAUCAAGUAAGAAACUAAACCCAGGCAAUCACAACUGAAUGAUAAGAUAGCAUUUUUUGUUGUUGUAAGAAUGACUUCAACAUAGAACAUUUUUUGUUGUUGCUGAAAAUCACAAACUGAAUGAUAAGACAGCAUCUUCUUUUGAGCAUCUAUUUUUUGAUUGUAUCAUAAUUUUUACUAACCUUUUAUCAUUUUAAAAUGCAGGCAACUCAUACAUAUGCAUGGUUUUCAAGGAUCUCAAGGGGGAAGCAAGCUAGAUGCCAGAGAAUAGACAUUUUUUUGGAGUGUUUUCAGCAUGGAUUUCACACCAAAAAACAGAGAGAGCAGCAGCAUGUUUUGUGUCAGAAAAAACUUAAGAAUAGCAGCAGUCAUGGGCAACAUAUGUUUGUCCCUUUUUAUGUUCAGUACUUUGUUUUUCUCUUAAAGUUUGUACUGGGAGCAACUUUGGUUAUCACUGUCUUUGUGUAGUCGCUUUUCCAAGCAAUCUGUUUGUCGAGGUCGUGAAUUGUUUCUUCGUGCUGCAACUGAUACAUCCAUUUUAUAGUAGUUCUAUAGGAAAUUUCUUUUGCCAUUUAUUUUUUGCAGGAUCAAAAUAGCAAUAUAUGUUGCAUCCACCCGCAUUGUUCCCCGCCAAUUGCAAGAUCACAACAACAACAACUGUUGUACGAUCAUGCAACCUACACCUUAUUGGAAAGGUAAAUUAAACCUCACUUUUUUUUGUCACUAGUGAAUAAAAGUACCAACGAUAAACCAUUUGUAGUAGAUUUUAGCUUUUAUACAUCACUUGCUUCUUCACAAUAGCUUUCUUGCCUACCUCUUUAUUCCAAGUUGCUUUUCCAUCAGCCAUGAGUUGCAUGUUUUUCACAGUAUUACUUGCCUAGUGUUCAUUUUUUUUACAAGCUGAUAAUGCAAGCAAUGAUUUUUUUUGCCUAGGUUUACAAUGCAAGUUGCUGCAGACAAUAUUUUUUUUGCCUAACUUCAUACAGGUUACGAUGCAAGUUACUUUCUACAACCCAUCAACCAUCAGCCAUGAUGUUCAUCCUUUUUUUUCUACUUGACACAUGCUUACAAUCAGCAGAAGCAGGCAGAUGAUUCAAUAAUCAACACAGGGUUAAAAAUCGUUCAUAUGAAAACAGGACGAAACACAGAUGGAGAAAAUCAAGAAGCAGCUCCAUUUUUUUCUACAGAAGAUGCUGGAGAGGGCUGGGGCUUGGGGAAGGUGAGCAGAUCUACAGCUUUUUACCUCUGAACUUGCCUGCUUCUGCUGCUUCUAGAUGUGUUUAGAUCAACAGUUUCAUGGACGCCGUCCGUAUUGCAGGCUUGAAGCUUUUGAGAUCUGAGCAGGAUGAACCUUGCCUCUUUCUUGGGGGAGAAGAAGAUGUCUCUCUUUUGGGACGGCUGGAAGGGAAUAGGAGGGGAGGAGAGGUGGGGAUGGAGAAAAGUAGGAUGGAAAAGAAUCACGUGAGUCGGGGUGGUGGAGCAGGUUGUGAUUGCGGGGGAACGUCCCCUUUCUGAUCGAGGGGGGACAGAAACUUACCUUUUCGGGGCCUAUCAGGGCAGGCCGCCAGGAAACGCUAGGGAGCACACGGCUGCUCCCUAGACGCGUCCUUAGUUAAAAUAUGUCAAAAUGUAAUGAAUUUGGUCUCACUUAAAUGAAAAUCAUUGUGUUUGCAUGAAAAUCGUCCAAUUUAUUUAAAUUCACUUUGAAAUGUAUGCAGACACGGUUGAAUAACCGGCUUCCGUAUCACUGUCCACGAACAAAGACGCAGUGCCCGUUUUAGUAGCCCGCGUAGGAGAUGCCCGUAACAAUUCGACAAUUCACCAUACUCCAAUCAAACCAUGGACUUAUAGAGGAUGCACUUGGUAUGGAUGUAGCGUCUGCAUCCUGCUGCCGCUAUUAGGUAGGUAUCUAUGAACGGUAUUUAGUAUGUUAGUUGUCGGUCGUCGGGGUAGCUACAUACACAUGCGUCCAACCUGCUGUGUGACGCAGCAGUUCUUGCUGACAAUUUGCACGCGCAUGAUAACUACGCAUACCAAGGUUUUAAAUAGUAUCACGAUUCAUUAUCAUGGUGUGCUCCCCAACCCUUAACACAUGCACAACUCUAUGUCAGCUUUCAAUACAAGCCCAGUGGAGAUAACCGAUCCAGUUGUAGUUUUGCUUGUGCUCCCAGACAUCACGAACGUAGAGUUGAAGCCCUCAAUUCAUUCACCUAACUGUUUGUUGUAUUCAUACAGCACUGUUACAUAGUAGUAAGUCACAUAUGUUUGCCACUUCAUUUUAUUUUCAUUCUCACAAUUAUCCACAUCAUCAACCUGCCAUCUCAUGCAUGUAGGCGCUACGCAUUGAUCGUUGUGAUUCGGAUUAAAGGGUGAAAUAGGGAGUGGAGAAAAUUCGUGAAAAAAAAGAGGGAGUGGAGAAGGUGGAACAUGCACAAAAUUAUUGGUUGGACGAUUCAUCCAUAGCUAAAUAUAUUUUUUUCUCGAAUAAGCAAAGUGUGUGUCAUUGCAUUGAUAGGAGAAAAGAGUUACAAGCUAGAGCCAGUCACACACUAGAAUUAUGGCUAGACUAGCAAAAGCAAAGAUACAAGUAUCGUUCAAGGUGGUUCAAAAAUGAAAACGCGUAGCCCCUUCGCCCCUGCCGAAGCCCACAUCUUAGCUUCCGCAAGGGCAGCUCGGGUAGCUUCGACAGUAGAGGGUCGCUCGUUGUCGAAAGUGCAAGCAUUCCUAUGCUUCUAGAGGGUCCAGGCCACGAUCAUCCCAAGGGAGGCAGUACCUUUGCGAAGAGAAGCCGAGGCUGACGGUGUGGAUGCUUGCCACCAAUCAAAGAAGGGCUCGUCACCUUCCCGGAUGCUGGCGGUUAGCCGAAGCUUAGGGAACACAUUGUGCCAGACCAAGCGGGGGAAGGGGCAGCCGAUCAGGAGGUGUUGCAUGGACUCAGUAGCUUGAUCGCAGAACACACAAGCAGGGUUGUGUGGCAGGUCGUGGCAUCCCAGCCUCUCGUUGGUCCAACAUCGGUCUUGUAGGGUCAACCAUAUGAAGAAUUUGACGCUGAGAGGGGCCCAAGUAUUCCAUGCAAGUGCUGCCCGUGGAGAUGUGGUGGAGCCUAGGUAUAGGGCUUCGUAGCAAGACUUUGCUGAAUAGAGGCCCUUAGCCGUCCAGCGCCAUUGUAGACUGUCCGACUGAUCAAAGAGGGCGAUUGGGAGCACAUGCCUCCAGAGCUCAAUGUAUUGGAUCGUGGCCAGGGUUCCCAAGGCGCCCACGAUGUCUUGAACCUAGGCUCAGCCCUGGAGUCCAUCGCUAAAAAUUGAACCAAUCUUUUUUGCACAAGAGGUUUUGGAGAUGGUUCUAACAAAGGAGAAGUAUAAAGUAUUGAUCCGACUUGGGACAAUCAAUAUUUUCAUCAAAUGCUUGAAUUCAACUUAUUGCCAAAUCCUUCAAAUCAUUAUGUUGUUAACGGAACACAAUUUGUGUUUGGGGUGCAGAAAUAUUCCAUAGCUACAAGUCUAUGAGUUUGCCCGUAGGAAUUCAUGAGGAAUCGUCUUGUUACAAGGUGGAGAUUGAGAAGCUAUAAGGAGAGAUUGCAUAUGAAUUAACAUAACUAGAUGAUAUCCCACAUUUUGAUGCGGCUAUUUGUUGCAAUAUGUUUUAGUGAGAUUUGGUUAUUUGAAAUAUGAAUAUUUAACAUAAUACUCCCUCCGUCCCAAAAUUCUUGUCUUAGAUUUAUCUAAAUACGAAUGUAUCAAGUCACAUUUUAGUAUUAGAUACAUCCGUAUCUAGACAAAUCUAAGACAAUAAUUUUGGGACGGAGGGAGUACUAUAAGAACUGAAACUGAAAAUACAUAUGCUUUUUAUAUUCAAUUAUUGUAUAGUUGUAAAGAUGCAUAUAUUUCAUGCAUGGUUGCAUGUUCAAGUGAGCCUUUUCUCAUACAUGGUUGCAUGUUGUGGUUGCAUUGCUUGCAUUUGAAAAAAUGGGUUAGUGGAGAUCACCUAGUAAGUUGUAUAUAACCAUAUAGGAAUUACUUUAUGUCAUUUUAGAAUGUGAUACAUGUUCAGAGUUCAUAUAAUUUUCUUUUUCACCAGCAUUAAAAAGUUUAACCUGCCAAGUGAGAUUAGACCUUGCAACCACUCAUUAAUCCUUUAUUUCUUCUUUUUUUUCACCUAAUUAGAUGGACUCACCAUUUAGUACGGCAACGGUGGUUAUUCCGAGUAGGGAAUGAAACAUCGCGAUAUAAAAAAAUUCCAAGGACAAGCCAAAUACAACGGAUAUACGCGUGCGCGCCCACAUCCACACACACCCACACCCGCCCACCCGCCCAACCACACACACACACACACACACACACACACACACACUCACAUUCACACACGCAUUCACUCACUCACACAAUGCUCAGUGAAGAUUGGACUCGUGGAGCAUGGGGAUUACGACAAAGUCGCCACAAGACAAUGCAUUAUGAUGAAACAUAUAUGGCCUCAUACUAGGAAAAAUAUGCCUUGGGAUCAAGGGUUUAUUCCUAAAAGGUCUAGGGGUCCAACCAACUCAGUAGCCGCCCGGCGCCGACGGUUGGUUCUUCCAGUAGUGAUUUUUCAAAAAAAAAGUCUCGAAUACACACAGCCUGCGUAUCAAAUAUUAUAGAUAGAAAAAUGGGACAGAGCCCAGUCCAUUGUAAUGGUUUGCACCAUGAUGAAAUAUUUCUGCACCCCAAACACAAAUUGAAUUCUUGUGUGUUAAAAGAACACAAUUAAGUGAUUUUUCAAUGAAAUAUACGCCAUGAUGGAGUACCAUUUGAAGUACCACUUGGCGAUUGAAUUCUUUUAGCACACGAGGUGAUACAAAUACAGCUAAACAAUGCAAGUGAGUUAAUACAUCAGUUUCAAUGUCAAAGGUUUCAAUGUCAAAGUGUUUUUCCCCAAGGACUUUUGUGUACAUUUCAUAUGAAUUUUAGAAUUCACUCAAACCUCUUGAAGGGAAUCAUUUGUUUCCCCCGUAGUGCAAUCAAACAAACAAAAAUAAUGAAGGAUCCAAAUGGGCAUGACAUUGCAAUUCCGUGCUUUUCCUAUUCCUCCGUAUUUAGAAUCCUGCAAAUCAAAGAGCCCUGAAAACCCCAACCUUUUACUUCCAAAAGCUAUAACUCUCUACUUUUUUUCACAAAAAUAUNNNNNNNNNNNNNNNNNNNNNNNNNNNNNNNNNNNNNNNNNNNNNNNNNNNNNNNNNNNNNNNNNNNNNNNNNNNNNNNNNNNNNNNNNNNNNNNNNNNNNNNNNNNNNNNNNNNNNNNNNNNNNNNNNNNNNNNNNNNNNNNNNNNNNNNNNNNNNNNNNNNNNNNNNNNNNNNNNNNNNNNNNNNNNNNNNNNNNNNNNNNNNNNNNNNNNNNNNNNNNNNNNNNNNNNNNNNNNNNNNNNNNNNNNNNNNNNNNNNNNNNNNNNNNNNNNNNNNNNNNNNNNNNNNNNNNNNNNNNNNNNNNNNNAUUUUAAAUUUUAAAUAUCAAUGAAGUAUUUUUUGGUAUUUUAAUUGAUGGAAAUAUUUAUAAUUUUGAAGCUUUAAAAGGAACUUCUUUUUAUAUCUGGUUUUUGAAUGAGAAGUGUGAGACACAUAUAGGUGACAUGUUUCUAAGACCAGGCUAAAGUGAGUUAGGGAUUGGUUCAUGUUAGUAUUUUACCCAAAUUAAGGUGAUGGGUAGAAUUUAUCCACUUUUAAAAUUCUCGACGAUAAUAUGUACACUCACCCGAUAGUUGAGGGUUAAAACACACACUUGUCCUAAGAGGGCAUUGGUUUGGUUGAACCAGUCGAAAAGUUGACUAGAAAAUGGGGGUGCAUCUUAGCAAAGCUAGUUUAUCCGAAGGAGGAUAAGGUCAGAUCACGCGGUGGCCAGAGACGAAUUCAGAAUUUAAAUUUUGAUGAUUUAUGCCUUAAAUUGUAGUUUUAUUUAUUUAUCACUCGCUUCUUUUUGUUUGGCAUCGUGAUGUAUCAUAUUCAAAUUGGUUUUUAGAUUGGUGCAGCACAUAAAUACAGAUCCGCCGCGAAAACGACAACAAAUAUUUAUUCGAGCAUAGCAUGGAAAUAGAGAUAUUACAUAAGAUGCACAUAACAUGGUUCAACCAAUAUUACAUCUCCAAUGUGACCAACAACACAAAAACAUUAAACAGUUUCGUUGUCAACCCUACCUCAAAACUGGUCCCGUUCCACCCCACCCGAAGUUAACCCCUCCAACAAGAUGGCCCAUACAUCAACGCAGCUCCCUAGCUCCGCAGCUCCAUCGAUCCCAACAUAUUACCAUCGCGCAACAGUAUAGGAAGACCAAGAGAAGAAUCCCCUGUAGCUGCAGCGCUACCUAGCGCCCCUUCCAUCCCUAGCGCACGACACGGCUGGCGACACUGCUUACCCUAGCUAGGAGGAGUGAGGCCAGCUCGCGCUCUCCCAUGGCCAUGAGCGAGCAAGAUGGGCAGCACGCCACGAACAGCCUUCCCGGAGAUGCGGCGAACGGCGCCGUCGACAUCGACUCCUUCUCGCAGCUCCCGUUCGUGCGGCCCAAGCCGCCCCCGGCGAUGGAGGCCGGCGGGUCGAGCCCCACGUCGUCCAUCCGUCUCUUCGGCUUCGACUUUCCACCCGACGGCGCGGCCUCCUCCGUCACCGACGGCGAUGCUGCCGCUGUCAGCUCCACUGCUCCCGGCCAGGCAGCGGCGGCGGCGUCGGCGUCGGCGUCGGCGUCGGCCGGUGCAAGUGGCGGCAGCGGUGGUCGCAAGUUCGAGUGCCACUACUGCUGCCGGAACUUCCCGACGUCGCAGGCGCUGGGAGGACACCAGAACGCGCACAAGAGGGAGCGGCAGCACGCGAAGCGCGCGCAGUUCCAGAGCGCCAUGGCCAUGCAAGGUCACUACCCCGCCCACGCGUACCCCGCCUUCGGCAGCGGCUACCACCACCGCUUCGUCGCCGGGCCGCCGCACAUGGGCCGCUACGAGCCGCCGCCGCACUACCCCUCGUGGUCCAACCACCACCACCUGGCGCCCACCAUGCCAGCGGCGGUGCCCAGGUACUACGGCAGCGGCCCCGGCUCCGUGUCCCAGCCGAUCAACGGCAGCCCGGUGCCGGCGUCGGCGCUCUGGCGGGUCCCGGGCGUCAGCGUGGCGACACCAGCAGCGCCGCGGCAAGAGCGGCCAACGCCCUUGACUCUUGCCGGGCGUGACGACAUGGCGGUGGCGUGGGAAAGAAGAGGACAAGCCGGCUCGGCGUCGUCGGCGUCAUCAGCAUCGUCGUCUUCGCAGCAUGAGGCCGCGCGCCACGGGGGAGAAGCCGCGGAGAACAGGGCAAACGUGAGCCUGGAUCUCACCCUGUAAUUCUCCAAGAACGGCGCGGUUGAUUAAUUAGCUGGUUCGUGAAGACCAAGAACGAAGGUUAAUUCUUUUUUUUCUCUAGCUCGUGAAUUCGUUUAGCUCGAUCGAUCAGCGGAGAGAUUCUUUUUCCUUGGGUGUCAAUUUUUGCAGUGUUUUCUUUCUCCUACUAGAGUACGUACUCAUUCGUCCUGCUCUUCUCGCAUCGCUUUAGAUUGCUUUGUAAGGAAAAACGGAGGGGAAAUAAAUGGAACGAAAGGGAAAAUGGGGAGUGUUGUCAUUUUCAUUUUCAUAUUCUUGAGCACAUUUUCCAGCAUUUUUAAUCUUCUUU